RNAcentral lists this ribosomal RNA (1528 nucleotides) under Colostethus pratti (Pratt's rocket frog). Its description in RNAcentral is "16S ribosomal RNA". It matches the Rfam family "Bacterial large subunit ribosomal RNA", at positions 361 to 2729 of the family's 2925-position model. The record is from RNAcentral. Lineage: Eukaryota; Metazoa; Chordata; Amphibia; Anura; Dendrobatidae.
GCUAAAUACCUAGCCCUAACCCCCCUUAUGAGAGUCCCCUAUCUUAAUUUUUCAACUAAAACAUUCUUCGAAUUCAGUAAAGGCGAUUAAAAAAUUUUUCUGGCGCAACAACUAUAGUACCGCAAGGGAAAGAUGAAAUAAUACUGAAACAACCCUAAAGCACAAAAAAGUAGAGUUUUACCCUCGUACCUUUUGCAUCAUGGUUUAACUAGUCUAAAUAAGCAAGAAGAUUUCUAGUUUAACUCCCCGAACCUAGACGAGCUAUUUUAAGACAGCUUCCUGAGCGAACCCGUCUCUGUCGCAAAAGAGUGGGAAGAUCUUAAAAUAGCGGUGACAGACCAAACGAGUCUAGUGAUAGCUGGUUGCUCAUCAAAAGGAUUUUAGUCCUGCUUAAAGCCACAUUUUAAAUGUAGAAAUUACCUUUAAAGUUACUCAAACAAGGUACAGCCUGUUUGAAAAAGGAAACAACCUAAACUAUUGGGUUAAUAACAUCGAACAAUGACUAAGUGGGCUUAAAAGCAGCCACCUUAAACAAAAGCGUCAAAGCUUCCUCAUCUGUUCUGUCUAAUUCCUCCACCUCCCAUUAACCCCUCCCCCUCAAAGAGCAAUUCUAUACCUUUAUAGAAACUUUUAUGUUAAAACUAGUAAUAAGAAGUCAGACCUUCUCUUUAAUGCAAACCUACAUCAGCAAGGACACCCCACUGAUUCUUAACGCCCUUAAAAACAUGGCAGCAACUUACCAAGAAAAUACUUCCCCCUCCCCAGCGUUAACCUAACACCAGAGCAUUUUAAGAAAGAUUCAAAGAAAAAGAAGGAACUCGGCAAAUAAUAGCCCCGCCUGUUUACCAAAAACAUCGCCUCUUGCCACCUAUAAGAGGUCCAGCCUGCCCAGUGACUCUGUUCAACGGCCGCGGUAUCCUAACCGUGCGAAGGUAGCGUAAUCACUUGUCCUUUAAAUGAGGACUAGUAUGAACGGCUCAACGAGGGCUAUACUGUCUCCUUUUUCUAAUCAAUGAAACUAAUCUUCUCGUGAAGAAGCGAGAAUAAUUUUAUAAGACGAGAAGACCCUAUGGAGCUUUAAAUAACUGAAAAAUUUGCAUACCCCAUUUUCACCUUCCGAGCCGCUACUCUCUGAGCAUUUUUAUUUCUAAUUUUAGGUUGGGGUGACCACGGAGCAAAAUUUAACCUCCAUGACGAAGGAGACCCACUCUCUAAGCUAAAAGCUACUCCUUUAAGCAUCAACAAACUGACUUCUUUUGACCCAAUAAAUUGAUCAACGAACCAAGUUACCCUAGGGAUAACAGCGCAAUCUACUUCAAGAGCUCAUAUCGACAAGUAGGUUUACGACCUCGAUGUUGGAUCAGGGUAUCCUAGUGGUGCAGCCGCUACUAACGGUUCGUUUGUUCAACGAUUAAAACCCUACGUGAUCUGAGUUCAGACCGGAGCAAUCCAGGUCAGUUUCUAUCUAUAAAGAGCUUUUUCUAGUACGAAAGGACCGAAAAAACAUGGCCUAUACCACUUGCAAGCC